RNAcentral lists this ribosomal RNA (490 nucleotides) under uncultured bacterium. RNAcentral describes it as "partial 16S ribosomal RNA". It matches the Rfam family "Bacterial small subunit ribosomal RNA", at positions 30 to 507 of the family's 1533-position model. The record is from RNAcentral.
AUUGAACGCUGGCGGCAGGCCUAACACAUGCAAGUCGAACGGUAACAGGAAGAAGCUUGCUUCUUUGCUGACGAGUGGCGGACGGGUGAGUAAUGUCUGGGAAACUGCCUGAUGGAGGGGGAUAACUACUGGAAACGGUAGCUAAUACCGCAUAACGUCUCAAGACCAAAGAGGGGGACCUUCGGGCCUCUUGCCAUCGGAUGUGCCCAGAUGGGAUUAGCUAGUAGGUGGGGUAACGGCUCACCUAGGCGACGAUCCCUAUCUGGUCUGAGAGGAUGACCAGCCACACUGGAACUGAGACACGGUCCAGACUCCUACGGGAGGCAGCAGUGGGGAAUAUUGCACAAUGGGCGCAAGCCUGAUGCAGCCAUGCCGCGUGUAUGAAGAAGGCCUUCGGGUUGUAAAGUACUUUCAGCGGGGAGGAAGGGAGUAAAGUUAAUACCUUUGCUCAUUGACGUUACCCGAAGAAGAAGCACCGGCUAACUCCGUG